This 497-nucleotide ribosomal RNA is filed under the name uncultured bacterium. RNAcentral describes it as "partial 16S ribosomal RNA". It matches the Rfam family "Bacterial small subunit ribosomal RNA", at positions 28 to 507 of the family's 1533-position model. The record is from RNAcentral.
GAUGAACGCUGGCGGCGUGCCUAAUACAUGCAAGUCGAGCGAACAGACGAGGAGCUUGCUCCCCUGACGUUAGCGGCGGACGGGUGAGUAACACGUGGAUAACCUACCUAUAAGACUGGGAUAACUUCGGGAAACCGGAGCUAAUACCGGAUAAUAUAUUGAACCGCAUGGUUCAAUAGUGAAAGACGGUUUUGCUGUCACUUAUAGAUGGUUCCCAGCCGCAUUAGCUAGUUGGUAAGGUAACGGCUUACCAAGGCAACGAUGCGUAGCCGACCUGAGAGGGUGAUCGGCCACACUGGAACUGAGACACGGUCCAGACUCCUACGGGAGGCAGCAGUAGGGAAUCUUCCGCAAUGGGCGAAAGCCUGACGGAGCAACGCCGCGUGAGUGAUGAAGGUCUUCGGAUCGUAAAACUCUGUUAUUAGGGAAGAACAAAUGUGUAAGUAACUAUGCACGUCUUGACGGUACCUAAUCAGAAAGCCACGGCUAACUACGUG